Molecule: transfer RNA, 57 nt
Filed under: Dipodomys ordii (Ord's kangaroo rat)
Lineage: Eukaryota; Metazoa; Chordata; Mammalia; Rodentia; Heteromyidae
Rfam family: tRNA
About the family: Transfer RNA (tRNA) molecules are approximately 80 nucleotides in length. Their secondary structure includes four short double-helical elements and three loops (D, anti-codon, and T loops).
Source: Rfam by way of RNAcentral
UGGCUCAGGGGUAGAGCGCUUGCCUUGCAUGCCUGAGGCCCUGAGUUCGAUCCUCAG